CUUCUCAGAGUGAAAUCCCCUUUUUUGGUAAACACACGGGGCUUACUUCACCUCCUCUGGCCUCCUGACCACCCGGGCAGACGUCAAAUGGCCUAGCUCAUUUAUUGUCAGUCUCCUCACCGAGACAGAUCCCCAUGGCAGAAGGACCUUGGCUCUUGCGUCCAUCAUGGUGUCCCUUGUCUAGCGCAGUGGCCUGGCCCACGGAAGCAGGUGCAGGGCUGGUUGGUGAAGAGGCUCACCCUCUCCUCCGUCCUCAGCCCCAACGCUCCCCAAACCUGUGCAUUAGAGCUGUGCUGGAGUUCUUCACGUCUCUACCAGGCCAGGUGGUCACUGCUAAACUCGCCUUGGAGAGAGGAAGCCUGGAUUAUCUGUCAGGUCCAGGGGGACGAUGCUCCAUUGGGCCCCCAGCUUCAUGGGGCUGCUACCUUGGUCUGGAGGGGUACCCUGCCCUGGAAUGAAUGAGCUCCGCAAAUACUCAUCUCUGGGCAGCUGCCAAGUCUGGCCCCACUCCAGAGGACCGAGUGCUUGCAUCUGUCCCACUUCCCUUGGCAUGAAGGCCCCUGGCUGUCAGGGUGGGGCAGAGCUCCAGAGCCAGCCUUGGUGCUGGGACCCGGCCGAGCGAGGAGCUGCGGUGCCCAGGCCACAUGGCGUUCCCUGGUGAGGAGACGAUGUGAUGGCCACCAACACCCUUGGAACCCGUGUCGGCCCCAGUGCGAGUCAAGUGGACCCCUGCUGUCCUCCCGAGAAGUGUGACCAUUUAGUCUGAGGGGAGGGACAGUGGCAUCCUGAACCCCCACAGUGGCUGAGAAGGCUUCCAGCUGCCCAGCUGCCCUCUCUGCCCAGGAGGAGACGCUAUGCCAAGGCCCAGCUGUGGGAGAGUCUGCGUUUCCCGUGCCAUCCACUUGGAAAGGGCCUUCGUGCAGUCAGGGACUGGUGUGAUGGGGAGAAGGAGCCCAGUUUUCUUCUUGGGCGUUCCAGCCAAAUCAGGCUUGUUGAAGCCCUUCCCUGACUGCCAAGAGGGAGACCACUGCCUCCAGCCGGGAGUGCAGGAUGCCCAUUCUCACGUGGAUUCUCGUCCAUUGGAAUCUGGAGACAGGCCUGGACUUGGAGCCUUCUGCUCGUUGUCUGACCACAGGCUGCCAACAGGGAGACGCCUGCUAGACCGUGGUUGUUACAAAGCAGAAUCGUGGUCUAGCAGGGGGAAUAAUGCAUCCCAACCAGCGUCAGAAGGAGGCGCCAGCAGAAGGCCCGCUGCUCCCACGGGCUAAGGGGAUGAAUGACGGAGGCCAGGACCUUCCCAGGGCGUGCCUGCAGGCUUCUCCACCUAGACUGUCGUGGCCCAACCUCAGGCCAGCCCAGGCAACAGCGAGGCAAGGCCCGGCCUGGGUCUGCCGCCUCUCAGCCCAUUGGCCCUG
Molecule: long non-coding RNA, 1415 nt
Filed under: Equus caballus (horse)
Lineage: Eukaryota; Metazoa; Chordata; Mammalia; Perissodactyla; Equidae
Description: lncRNA (ENSECAG00000040621.3)
Source: RNAcentral